GAACAUUUUCCAGAAAAUCAUAAAUCGGCAAAGGGUUUUUGAAAGUAAUUUUCAAAGUAAGAUUUAGGGAAAUUGUUUGAAAAUUCAUGUAUAGCUUAGAUACACAACAGAUCUAAAAAUAAUUGAAGAAAAACCUCGAAUGACUAGGGUUUCAGAGGAACCCUAGGGAGAGAAAGGCUUUGGAAAAGGUCCGAUCUAAGUCGGAUAAUGUUGGAAUCAGGCUCAGGAGGCUAGGAUUGCUGAAGCAAAGCCUGGAGAUGGAGGAAAAACUUAAGUCAGCAAAGGUCUGAUGUUGAACCUUCAGGCAUCAAGCACACAGGAGUAAUAGGAGGUGAGUAUAUGUCAUCUAUGGCCUGAGAAGCCAUAUAUUCUAGUGGGGUUGUGGUUGGAGAGGUGAUGGAGUUCAUCAGAGAAGAGAGAACCAGAAGGUUCUAGAGAUAAGGGAGAGGGAGAGACGAUAUAGAGAGAGAG
This 471-nucleotide long non-coding RNA is filed under the name Nicotiana benthamiana. Its description in RNAcentral is "long non-coding RNA (NBEN_LNC017233)". Lineage: Eukaryota; Viridiplantae; Streptophyta; Magnoliopsida; Solanales; Solanaceae. The record is from RNAcentral.